This 471-nucleotide ribosomal RNA is filed under the name rape rhizosphere bacterium cse001. RNAcentral describes it as "bacterial SSU rRNA". It matches the Rfam family "Bacterial small subunit ribosomal RNA", at positions 20 to 504 of the family's 1533-position model. The record is from RNAcentral.
UGGCUCAGGAUGAACGCUGGCGGCGUGCUUAACACAUGCAAGUCGAACGAUGAUCCCAGCUUGUUGGGGGAUUAGUGGCGAACGGGUGAGUAACACGUGAGUAACCUGCCCUUAACUCUGGGAUAAGCCUGGGAAACUGGGUCUAAUACCGGAUAUGACUCCUCAUCGCAUGGUGGGGGGUGGAAAGCUUUAUUGUGGUUUUGGAUGGACUCGCGGCCUAUCAGCUUGUUGGUGAGGUAAUGGCUCACCAAGGCGACGACGGGUAGCCGGCCUGAGAGGGUGACCGGCCACACUGGGACUGAGACACGGCCCAGACUCCUACGGGAGGCAGCAGUGGGGAAUAUUGCACAAUGGGCGCAAGCCUGAUGCAGCGACGCCGCGUGAGGGAUGACGGCCUUCGGGUUGUAAACCUCUUUCAGUAGGGAAGAAGCGAAAGUGACGGUACCUGCAGAAGAAGCGCCGGCUAACUAC